UUUUACCAACACUAAGGUUUAAACCCAGU
Molecule: non-coding RNA, 29 nt
Filed under: Mus musculus (house mouse)
Lineage: Eukaryota; Metazoa; Chordata; Mammalia; Rodentia; Muridae
Source: RNAcentral